UACAGAGACUGCAAGCGUUAUUCGGAUUCACUGGGCGUAAAGGGUGCGCAGGCGGCCAAGUGUGUGAGGCGUGAAAGCCCGGGGCUUAACCCCGGAAUUGCACCUCAAACUACAUGGCUAGAGCAUUGGAGAGGGUAGCGGAAUUCACGGUGUAGCAGUGAAAUGCGUAGAUAUCUGGAGGAACACCGGUGGCGAAGGCGGCAUCCUGGACCAAUAUUGACGCUGAGGAGCGAAAGCUAGGGGAGCAAACGGG
This 253-nucleotide ribosomal RNA is filed under the name uncultured bacterium. RNAcentral describes it as "partial 16S ribosomal RNA". It matches the Rfam family "Bacterial small subunit ribosomal RNA", at positions 524 to 776 of the family's 1533-position model. The record is from RNAcentral.